AAUUCAUAACUGUUGUUUAAUAGGGAGGUGCGGCGUUCCCCACAGAUGAUGCCUAAAACUUUUUAGCCAUGAUUCAUCAAUAAACUAAAGCUAAAACAAAAUGGUAUAAAGCCUAGCUCCAAACACCAAGCAUUGUACAACAGUCGGGACUCUGUAGUGCAAACAACUGCAACCUCUAGUUGUGCUGCCACGAAUCCGGGCCAACUUUGUAAUUCAUCCAGCAACAUAACUGAACAGAUCACUGCUGUGGCUGUUGGUAAGUUCCUGGUUGCUGAUAGUUCCCAUAUCCAGGAUAGCCACCAUAAUACAU
Molecule: unclassified non-coding RNA, 310 nt
Filed under: Hevea brasiliensis (rubber tree)
Lineage: Eukaryota; Viridiplantae; Streptophyta; Magnoliopsida; Malpighiales; Euphorbiaceae
Source: RNAcentral